Acanthosepion pharaonis is the source of this 95-nucleotide non-coding RNA. The record is from the annotation of a GenBank genome assembly. NCBI's taxonomy places the organism in Eukaryota, Metazoa, Mollusca, Cephalopoda, Sepiida, Sepiidae.
CGUGGAAACACCGGCUCCCCUACGAUCACCGAAGUUAAGCAACGUCGAAACUGGUCACUAUCUAGAUGGGUAAGCGCUUGGGAAUACCAGAUGCU